ACUCCUACGGGAGGCAGCAGUAAGGAAUAUUGGUCAAUGGGGGCAACCCUGAACCAGCCAUGCCGCGUGCAGGAAGACGGCCCUCUGGGUUGUAAACUGCUUUUAUCCGGGAAUAAACCCCCUUACGUGUAAGGGGCUGAAUGUACCGGAAGAAUAAGGAUCGGCUAACUCCGUGCCAGCAGCCGCGGUAAUACGGAGGAUCCAAGCGUUAUCCGGAUUUAUUGGGUUUAAAGGGUGCGUAGGCGGCCUGUUAAGUCAGGGGUGAAAGACGGUGGCUCAACCAUCGCAGUGCCUUUGAUACUGACGGGCUUGAAUACACUUGAAGUAGGCGGAAUGUGACAAGUAGCGGUGAAAUGCAUAGAUAUGUCACAGAACACCGAUUGCGAAGGCAGCUUACUAAGGUGCAAUUGACGCUGAGGCACGAAAGCGUGGGGAUCAAACAGGAUUAGAUACCCUGGUAGUCCACGCCCUAAACGAUGAAUACUCGAUGUUAGCGAUAUACAGUUAGCGUCUAAGCGAAAGCGUUAAGUAUUCCACCUGGGGAGUACGCCCGCAAGGGUAAAACUCAAAGGAAUUGACGGGGGCCCGCACAAGCGGAGGAGCAUGUGG
RNAcentral lists this ribosomal RNA (609 nucleotides) under uncultured bacterium. Its description in RNAcentral is "bacterial SSU rRNA". It matches the Rfam family "Bacterial small subunit ribosomal RNA", at positions 335 to 944 of the family's 1533-position model. The record is from RNAcentral.